This 389-nucleotide small RNA is filed under the name Vigna angularis var. angularis. Its description in RNAcentral is "Non-protein coding transcript". Lineage: Eukaryota; Viridiplantae; Streptophyta; Magnoliopsida; Fabales; Fabaceae. The record is from RNAcentral.
GUUUUCUUCGGAUCCACAUUAGCAAUCCGAAUAGCAGCUUCAAAGGCUUCCACAGAGGGUUUGCAGAGGAUAUGAGUCUGGGAAUUGAAACAUCCACUCUCUGUUAAAUCUGUGAGAACAUGAUUAUCAUUCGGUAAAUCCAUGUAAUUGAUUUGUUUGUUAGGAUUAAGUGUUUCAAAGCAUAUGAUGCCCUCAAAACAAUCUUCCAAACCCAAUCUGUUGAGAACUUUAACUGCAUGUGCGUGAUCUGCAUUGGUGAAUACUAUUUUACGUUGAGGCAUGGAAAGCAGAAUAUUCCUUAAUACUGGAUCAGGUUUCAGUUUCUCGUAUGGUAACCUUCCAUGAACGUAAGCAUGAAACUCGUCGUUGUCAAAUUCAUAACCAAGGAC